RNAcentral lists this ribosomal RNA (859 nucleotides) under uncultured bacterium. Its description in RNAcentral is "SSU rRNA". It matches the Rfam family "Bacterial small subunit ribosomal RNA", at positions 524 to 1381 of the family's 1533-position model. The record is from RNAcentral.
UACGGAGGGUGCAAGCGUUACUCGGAAUCACUGGGCGUAAAGGACGCGUAGGCUGUUUAGCAAGUCAGAUGUGAAAUCCAAUGGCUCAACCAUUGAACUGCAUUUGAAACUGCUAGACUAGAGUAUGGGAGGGGGAGAUGGAAUUAGUGGUGUAGGGGUAAAAUCCGUAGAUAUCACUAGGAAUACCUAAAGCGAAGGCGAUCUCCUGGAACAUUACUGACGCUAAGGCGUGAAAGCGUGGGGAGCAAACAGGAUUAGAUACCCUGGUAGUCCACGCCCUAAACGAUGAACACUAGUCGUCGCGAUGCUUGUCAUUGCGGUGAUGCACUUAACAGAUUAAGUGUUCCGCCUGGGGAGUACGGUCGCAAGAUUAAAACUCAAAGGAAUAGACGGGGACCCGCACAAGUGGUGGAGCAUGUGGUUUAAUUUGAAGAUACGCGAAAAACCUUACCUAGCCUUGACAUUGAUAGAAUCUUUCAGAGAUGAGAGAGCGCCCUUCGGGGAGCUUGAAAACAGGUGCUGCACGGCUGUCGUCAGCUCGUGUCGUGAGAUGUUGGGUUAAGUCCCGCAACGAGCGCAACCCUCGUCCUUAGUUGCCAGCAGUUCGGCUGGGCACUCUAAGGAGACUGCCUUCGCAAGGAGGAGGAAGGUGAGGACGACGUCAAGUCAUCAUGGCCCUUAUGGCUAGGGCUACACACGUGCUACAAUGGGGCGUACAGAGUGUUGCAAUACCGCGAGGUGGAGCCAAUCACUUAAAGCGUCUCUCAGUUCGGAUUGUUCUCUGCAACUCGAGAACAUGAAGCUGGAAUCACUAGUAAUCGUAGAUCAGCAUUGCUACGGUGAAUACGUUCCCGGGUCU